CAAUAAAAAAUUAAAAUUAAAAUUAAAUAGUUUUAAUAUGAUAUUAAUGAUAAAAACGUCAUUUAAUAUUCUUAAUAUUUUGUUGUAAUAUUUUUUAAGAAAAAAAAUCUUGAUUUAAAAAAAAAUAUGUAUUAAGGUAAAUUGGUAUUAAAGUUGAAGAUUUACGAACUGCACAGUCAUGUGUUCUGUAAUGGGUACGGAUACAUAGGCGGAUCCAGGGGGGGGGAGCGCCCCCCUUUCGUGGGGAAAAUUUAGUUGAUUAUAUAGGGAAUCACUGAAGCAUGACUGGAGCGGUCUCCCCUUAGGUCAGUCAGCGCCCCCCCCCCCCCCCCUCCUUAGGAAAAGUUCUGGAUCCGCCACUGGGAUAUGCAUAAUAUUACGGCCCUUUUCUAUAAGAUUUUACUAAGUAAUACAUUCAUGUAUUAGAAAAUAUUGAGAAAACACAAACAUAUGAUAUAAAUACAGACUGGACAUUAAACCGAAAAAAAUAAAGCAAACAUUGUUUGUCAAGAUUUCGACUCGAGAAUUAAUAAGGAUUGUUUCAUGAAGACUUGAUAGCACUUGGGAUGAAAAAAACGUUAUAAAUUCUUUACAUUUAAUUAUUAGCUUUAACAGACAGUCUUUUAAAACAGUUACAUUUAGAAAAUAAUAAAAUAUGCAUUUAAUUAUAAAUGUAUUUAAACAACAAAAGAAACUUUCAGACAUAUGCACAAUAAUAAUAUACCAGUUUUCGUAAUAUAGAUCUCACAAGCGGCGAUCAAAGACAUCGUCUAUUGAAGUUUUAAAAAAUAUGAGAAAACCAUUUUACUCUAAAUUUUAUAAGAAGUAAAAGAACAUAAAAUAUCAGAGUGUACUUCAUUGAAACAUUCAAACUUCACAAUUUCAACAUGCAUC
Molecule: long non-coding RNA, 894 nt
Filed under: Mytilus galloprovincialis (Mediterranean mussel)
Lineage: Eukaryota; Metazoa; Mollusca; Bivalvia; Mytilida; Mytilidae
Source: RNAcentral